Molecule: transfer RNA, 67 nt
Filed under: Anaspis sp. ANA02
Lineage: Eukaryota; Metazoa; Arthropoda; Insecta; Coleoptera; Scraptiidae
Description: tRNA-Ser
Source: RNAcentral
AAUUAAUGAACUUGAAUAAGUUUAUAUUUUGAAAAUAUAAAAAAGGAAUAAAAUUUCCUAUUGAUUU